Molecule: long non-coding RNA, 1746 nt
Organism: Mercenaria mercenaria
Lineage: Eukaryota; Metazoa; Mollusca; Bivalvia; Venerida; Veneridae
Exons: 2
Source: RefSeq, a predicted model, not a curated record
UCUCCUCUUGAUUUGUCAGUCUUCUACUAUAGUGCAAAGACACUGAACAAGCAGGAAGCUUUAAAAAGGCUAUAUAAAAAGAAGACACAUAGUUUUUCACUUUAAUUUUAAGAAAAAAAUAUAAAUUUAAAUUUCUUAAAUUUUUUUUAAAAAAUUUCUAUUUCGCAUAGCGUCUCUUUUCCGAAGAAUUUAUAAGUAUAUAUAUGUGAACAUGUUACAUAGUGCCGCAGUAGACCGUGGAUGAACAGUGUCGUAUGUGUGGAAGCUGUACAUUUUGGACCGGAUGGGUUUAUAAAUGAGGCUAUAGUCGGUUUCGUAACAGGAGUCGGAGAGACUGAUUGCUUGUCGGGCCUGGAUCUCGAACCGGUCACGGUGUUAUUACACUGAUGUUAAAGCCAGUCAGCAGGCGUCUGAUAUAUGAUAUAAAGAAAUUGCGUGAAUGUUCGUUCCCUUGCGUAUGAGACGCAUAACUAAUAUUACACGAAAUAAUUAUUUUUCUCAUUUCAGUCAAAUCCGAUGUGCUACCGGCAUUUUGGCAUUGAAGGACAUUGCUUACCGGUGUGCCGAGUGCAUUUGUCGGCAUUAUUAAUGUAUAACAAGUUUUCUUUACACUGACAGGACAUUGGUUGUAUUACACAGGAUAUUACAUGGAGGUUGCUUCAGUGUGAUAAAAUAGUUGUUGUUGUUGUUGUUGUUUGUGUAUUAUUUUAUUUAUUCAUUUGUUUUUUCAGUUUAGAACAUAUUCCGAGCUUUCAGCUUCAGCCCGCAUCAGGCCGUCGUCAGAUACAUUCUGCUAUGAAUGGGAUGCUUCUAUUCUGAUUUGCUUUUCAGGUUUACAACGCAUGUCUGUGUUACUAAGAAAAUAUUUAACGGGGCUGAUUUCCUGGGUCGGCCUCGUGCAGUUUCCUUAAUAUGUAUUUGUCCUGGUACCGACUGGAAACACAACUUGACGGUAUUUGUAUUUCAGUUUUGCUCGAUUCAUUCUACUUCAUUCUUUAGAUAGGACUUUUCCUGUUGGGACUUUUGUUCAUGUUUUUCUGUAUGUUGUUUUUUCAUAGCAUUUAAAUGUGUUUCAAUUCUUUGAAAUGUGCAUUUCAGAUACUUUGUUGUCUGUGCUGAAAGAGGCUGUCUGGUAAUAGUUAUUUUAAUAUUCUUUUCACUGUUUCAGCUAACAUAUAUGUAGAAAAUUAUUCAGUUGCAGUGUUUUAAUGACAGACUUCCUGUAAAGUUCCUGAACCAGUUGAUAUCAGAAUGAUAAAGAAAUGAUAGAUGGUACCAAUCUGUGAAUAUUAUGUCACUUUUUUAUAUAGGUGUUCCUGAUCACACUUAGAACUAUACACACACACACUCAGCUGUUUCUCAAGAAAGGCUGACACCGGUUCACAAUCUUUCUUUUGUCAUUUGCAGGCGAUGAAUUCCAUAUGUCAGAAGGAAAUUUAGAAUCGUACAACCAGUCAGCAGCUACCCAUAAACCAGACCAACCUAUUAAGUCGAGCGGGCAGAAGCUGUGAUUCCCAGUGUAACACCGCAGAAUGACGGCUAGUUUUCGGAUGACAUUUCUGUGCGGAAGGAUUAAAAAAACUACACCAGACUGGUGGCCAUGACAGAUGUCAGUGGGAAAUUUAAACAUGGACUAGAUACUUUGAUGUGUAGCAAAAAAGUUCAUCGUUGAUGGUGGUGUUUUUCUGUGAUAUAUUGACUGGGAUAGUAUUACUCUUCAGAAAUACAGAGCUGUCAAUGCUGCAA